This 443-nucleotide ribosomal RNA is filed under the name uncultured soil bacterium. RNAcentral describes it as "bacterial SSU rRNA". It matches the Rfam family "Bacterial small subunit ribosomal RNA", at positions 26 to 491 of the family's 1533-position model. The record is from RNAcentral.
AGAUUGAACGCUGGCGGCAUGCCUUACACAUGCAAGUCGAACGCGAAAGGGGGGGCAACCCCCCAAGUAGAGUGGCGAACGGGUGAGUAAUACAUCGGAACGUGUCCAGUAGCGGGGGAUAACCUCCCGAAAGAGAGGCUAAUACCGCAUACGACCUACGGGUGAAAGAGGGGGAUCGCAAGACCUCUCACUAUUGGAGCGGCCGAUGUCGGAUUAGCUAGUUGGCGGGUAAAAGCCCACCAAGGCGACGAUCCGUAGCUGGUCUGAGAGGACGACCAGCCACACUGGAACUGAGACACGGUCCAGACUCCUACGGGAGCAGCAGUGGGGAAUUUGGACAAUGGACGAAAGUCUGAUCCAGCGACGCCGCGUGCACGAUGAAGGUCUUCGGAUCGUAAAGUGCUUUGCAGGGGACGAAUUUUGACUGUACCCUGAGAAUAAGA